This 253-nucleotide ribosomal RNA is filed under the name uncultured bacterium. RNAcentral describes it as "partial 16S ribosomal RNA". It matches the Rfam family "Bacterial small subunit ribosomal RNA", at positions 524 to 776 of the family's 1533-position model. The record is from RNAcentral.
GACAGAGGAUGCAAGCGUUAUCCGGAAUGAUUGGGCGUAAAGCGUUUGUAGGUGGCUUUUGAAGUCCGCCGUCAAAUCCCAGGGCUCAACCCUGGACAGGCGGUGGAAACUACCAAGCUGGAGUACGAUAGGGGCAGAGGGAAUUUCCGGUGGAGCGGUGAGAUGCAUUGAGAUUGGAAAGAACACCAACGGCGAAAGCACUCUGCUGGGCCGACACUGACACUGAGAGACGAAAGCUAGGGGAGCAAAUGGG